Molecule: ribosomal RNA, 468 nt
Filed under: uncultured bacterium
Lineage: Bacteria
Description: partial 16S ribosomal RNA
Rfam family: Bacterial small subunit ribosomal RNA
Source: RNAcentral
GACGAACGCUGGCGGCGUGCUUAACACAUGCAAGUCGAACGGAAAGGCCCUGCUUUUGUGGGGUGCUCGAGUGGCGAACGGGUGAGUAACACGUGAGUAACCUGCCCUUGACUUUGGGAUAACUUCAGGAAACUGGGGCUAAUACCGGAUAGGAGCUCCUGCUGCAUGGUGGGGGUUGGAAAGUUUCGGCGGUUGGGGAUGGACUCGCGGCUUAUCAGCUUGUUGGUGGGGUAGUGGCUUACCAAGGCUUUGACGGGUAGCCGGCCUGAGAGGGUGACCGGCCACACUGGGACUGAGAUGCGGCCCAGACUCCUACGGGACGCAGCAGUGGAGAAUAGUGCACAAUGGGCGGAAGCCUGAUGCAGCAACGCCGCGUGCGGGAUGACGGGCUUCGGGUUGUAAACCGCUUUCGCCUGUGACGAAGCGUGAGUGACGGUAAUGGGUAAAGAAGCACCGGCUAACUACGUG